Molecule: ribosomal RNA, 439 nt
Filed under: uncultured bacterium
Lineage: Bacteria
Description: bacterial SSU rRNA
Rfam family: Bacterial small subunit ribosomal RNA
Source: RNAcentral
UGAGGAAUAUUGGUCAAUGGGCGAGAGCCUGAACCAGCCAAGUAGCGUGAAGGAUGACUGCCCUAUGGGUUGUAAACUUCUUUUAUAAAGGAAUAAAGUCGGGUAUGUAUACCCGUUUGCAUGUACUUUAUGAAUAAGGAUCGGCUAACUCCGUGCCAGCAGCCGCGGUAAUACGGAGGAUCCGAGCGUUAUCCGGAUUUAUUGGGUUUAAAGGGAGCGUAGAUGGGUUGUUAAGUCAGUUGUGAAAAGUUUGCGGCUCAAACCGUAAAAAUUGCAAAUUGAUACUGGCGUCCUUGAGUACAGUUGAGGUGGGCGGAAUUCGUGGUGUAGCGGUGAAAAUGCUUAGAUAUCACGAAGAACUCCUAUUGCGAAGGCAGCUCACUAAACUGCAACUGACAUUGAGGCUCGAAAGUGUGGGUAUCAAACAGGAUUAGAUACC